UCGAGAACAUUUCAGAACCACUAAAUAUUUUAUAAUUAAAAAUAUAUUUAAAAAAUUAUCCAUCUACCCAACCCAACCACCAACACUCUUCUGAAACUACACCACCAUAGAGAUCAAGGCCAUUGCCGUCAUUAGAACCACCGCAUCAUCGCCUCUCUCUCUCUCUCCUCUUGGAUAAAGGAUUGUCUCCAUUCUCCAUCACUGAACAUGGCCAAACAUCGUUGAUUUUCUGAUCAUUCACGUAGGGUUUCAAAAGGAGAUUAUGAUCGAUUCAACAUCAAGAUAAUCUAUUAUCAGUAAAACAUCAAAUUCAAACGUUCGUGUAAUCACAUACAUUCUCCAUAUUAGGUUUUUAUCGCACUCAAUCCUCUUUCAUAUUCGUUAUCUGAUUCGGUCUUGCAUUCAAUUUUGCAUUCUUAAUAUAUGAACGAUUAGUCAAUCGGUGGAAAGAAUUCAAGGGAAAAAAGAGCGAGAUGUGAGCAUUCUUCAUCGUUAAGGUAAUCAAUAUGGCGAUUAUAUUUCUCAACCAUGUUACUCUCUUCCGCCACCUGCUACUUCUCCUCCGACAUCUCCUAGACCAUAAAAAAAGAAGCCUAACAAAAGAUAUUUGAGAAUCAAAGAUAAUAAUUCUUUGGAACAGGUGACAUAGGCUCUUACACUUGCAGGCCUGCAAAAAUGAUUAGUCAAAAGAAUAUUUAUGGAUGACUUCUGCAAAAAUCAUGUACUAAGUUUGAUGGAUUGCGUCCGCCCAUGAACAUCGAAAUUGAAAAUUUGAAAUUUUCCUAGAACAUCUUACCCCAAAAAAUGUAUGUAUCAAUUUUACAACUAGGACUGUACAAUAGAUUAUUUAAAUUUCACUGCUUGUUUAAUGAUACGUGAAACGAUCUUAAAAAAAAUAGUUUCUUUUCUACUUUUGGAAACUUGAUAACUUGUCGAUUCUAAUUUGGUCUAAUGGUUCAAUUAUACAAGGUUGAGUACUUGCCGAUAGUUCUUGUGCAACAGCACGCAUCGAAGGUCUUGACUCGGGUGCUAAUCGUGUACACGCUAGAGCAACAUUAAGCACAAACACCACUUGUUCGGCGACACUAUCAUUAGGAGGCAGAAGCCUCUGAUCAAGGACGUCUUUCAACAACAUAUUUGAAUUAUCUUGAGAUGUAGAGAUCGUAUUUGAUGAUUGCAAAGACGAUAAAAGCUCUCCAGGAUGUCUUCCCAUCAUAAUCUCAAACGAUACGACUCCAAAGCUGUAAACAUCACAUUUCUCUGUAACCCUCAUUGUGAGCGCAAGUUCUAAAGCAUAAAGUACAAACAAAAUUAGCAUGUUUCAGUAAAACAAUUAAAAAUAAGAUAAACUGGACGUUGUUAACCAUAUAAAUAAAUAAUAAAUACCUGGUGCCAUGUAACCAUAUGAACCAGCAACUCCGGUCCAGUUACUCGAGUCCGGGUUCAACAAUUUGGCUGUCCCAAAAUCAGCCAGUCGGGGGACCAUAUCGGACUCGAGCAAAAUAUUGUUUGACGAGACAUCCCGAUGUACAACCGGAGGAUUGCAGUCGUGGUGCAAGUAGGCUAAUGCAUGUGCGAGUCCUUGGACGAUUUUAACCCUAGUAAUCCAGUCUAAUUCUGAUAUUGCCCUUCCUUCUUCGUAGAGUACUUUUCCCAAACUACCCUUUUCUAAGUAUUCAUAUACUAAAUGCAUCCCGCCUUCCCUACAACAGUAUCCGUAGAGUUUGAUAACAUUCCGAUGACGGACUUCCGUUAGGGCAUGUAUUUCGUUUUCGAAGCUUUUCUUGUUUAUCGCCGGAACAUCGUCGGAAUCCGACACGUGCAGACGUUUCACCGCCACUAUCUGUCCGGUUGGUAGCUUCGCUUUGUACACACUCCCGAAUCCCCCUCUUCCGAUGCAAUACAUCUCGUUGAAGUUUCCGGUUGCUUUCACGAUGUCUCCGAACGUAAAUCUACCGUCUCUUUCCCAUAUAACCGUUUCAGAAUUUCCAAUUGUUGUGGUACUUUUGAUCUCUUCGUCGAUAGGUUUUGAUCUUCUUCGAAUGAUUAUACAGAAGAUAGCAAUCGUUGUUGCCAUGAAGACGAAAGUGACCGCCGGUACAAGAACUGCGAUAAGCAGUUUCUUAUUUCCGGAUUUUUUCGAUGAAGCGCUGCCGUCACAAGGAAGAUAUCCAUUUUCUGAUCCACACAGAUACGGAUUUCCGGUAAAGGAUUCUGCCGGUGCCUUUUUGAAUACACCGUCGUUCGGGAUUGGUCCUGACAAAUUGUUGUGCGAGAGAUCGAUUGAUUGCAAGCUAAUCAUGGAAGUAGAUAUCCCUGGAGGAAUUCGACCUGAGAAAUGGUUAUGAGAAAGAUUAAGAUUCUGGAGUGUGUUGAGCUUCGCCAGAUCUUGAGGAAUUCUGCCGGAGAAUGAAUUGCUGCUAAGAUCCAACACAUACUGCAAUCCGAACAAGUUUCCGAUCUGAUAAGGCACUUCUCCUGACAAAUCAUUGUUGCUCAAAUUCAAGCUUGAUAACCUUACACAAUUCCCAAUUGUUGUUGGUAUGUUUCCAUUCAGAUCGUUGCUAGAUAAAUCGAGAGCUUGGAGGUUGGUUAAGUUGCCGAAGGCUGGAGGGAUUUGUCCAUUUAACUGAUUGUUGCUGAGAUUGAGAUUGAACAAAUUGUUUAAUUUGUUCAAUUCACUUGGGAUUUCGCCUGUAAGUUGGUUCCAUUCGAGGCUUAGAACACUUAACUUUAGCAAGUCUCCAAGCUCAGGCGGAAUUUUCCCUGAGAUUCUGUUUCUUCCUAACUCCAGAUUGGUUAGGUCUUGUAAUUUUCCCAACUGGGGAUUGAUUUCACCGGUAAACUGAUUGUCACGGAGAUUGAUGUAUGUGAGAUUUGGGUGCACACCAAGUGUUUGUGAAAUGUCAGCAGAGAAGCGGUUACCAUCCAGCCUAAUGCGACGUAGACCAGUGCAGUUCCUUAAGCAAUCUGGUAAUAUUCCCGUGAAUUUGUUUCCAUUUACAGUGAACUGAUCAAACUGAAAGCCACUGCACAGUUCAGCAGGUAGUUCUCCAGUGAAACUAUUGUUUGAAAAGCUAACAUUUGUCAAAACAAGAUUGUUCUUGCCUAAAUCUGCAGGAAUACCACCUGAAAACCCAUUGCUAAACAGCGAAAGAACCAUCAAAUUAGAAAGUUUAGAGAGCGUCUUAGGCAACUCUCCACUCAACCGGUUUGUGUUCAAGUCAAGUUUGACCAAGGAAGUCAAGUUUCCAAUCUCCGGUGGAAUUGUUCCAUUGAGAUCAUUAGAAAAAAGCUGCAUAUCUUCAAGGUUAACCAAGUUUCCAAUCGUGGAAGGUAUUGAACCCGAUAUCUGAUUGUCUGAAAGAUCCAAACUCCUAAGAUUCUCCAAGUUCCCAAUCUCUAUAGGAAUGGGGCCUGUGAAGCUGUUAUUAUACAGAAAGAGAACACUCAGAUUUGACAAGAGACCAAUCUCCUGUGGGAUUUUCCCAGUGAAGAGAUUGUUUUGAACCUGCAAGGAAACCAAUUGGGUCCAAUUGCUGAUGAAAUCAGAAGAAAUUUCACCGGAAAAAUUGUUUUCCGAGAGACCAAGAUCAGAAAUCCGGGUCAGAUUCGACAAAGAGAAAGGCAAUUCACCGGAAAACGAGUUUCCGGCAAGAGCCAAGAAGGUGAGAUUAGAACAGAAUCCAAUCUCAGAAGGAAUCGAAGAAUUGAGGUUGUUUGAGUGAAGAUCAAGGUACCGAAGAUUUCGAAGGUAACCAAUAGAAGAAGGAAUCUCUCCAUGAAAUGAAUUGCCAAACAAUUCAAUAACUUCAAGAUUCAGCAUCAAAUCCAAAUCUUUCAAGAUUGGACCUGAGAAUUGGUUGUUUCCUAAUCUAAGAUCUUUCAAUUUAGUAAGAUUGUAGAACCCCUUUGACAAUGGACCUUGAAACAAAUUAUCAGAGACAUUAAAGUAUUCAAUCUUGUUGAGAUUGGUGAAUAACGAUUCAGGUAAUGAGCCAUUGAAUUGGUUUAUUGACAAAUCAAGAAAAGUCAACUUCUUGCACUGGAGAAUGAAAUCGGGGAAGCCAUUGUCAAGAUUAUUGAGGUAAAAGUUAAGAAAAGUCAAAGCUGGCAUACUGGAAAAGUCAGACCAGUUUGGAUUAGUCAAGUAAUUCCCUCCAAGAUCCAAGUACCAUACCUUUUGAAGAUUGCUGAUCUGAAACGGAAUAACACCAUUCAGAUUAUUGUCAUUAAGAUUCAGAUAUCUCAACUGUGUCAGCCUUCCAAUCUCAGAUGGGAUUUCAUCUUCGAAACCAUUUGAGCUCAAAUCCAAGAACAUGAUGCUGGUGAGGUUGCCAAUGGCGGAUGGAAUCGACCCACUGACAUCGUUAUUGCUUAAAUCGAAGUGGGUAAGAUUUGGGAAUGAAGAAAACUCAAACUCUGUUAGUGUUCCAGAGAGAGAUGAAUCUUGGAGGGUAAUUUUGGAAACCAGACCACCUUCAUUGCAGACAAUACCAGUCCAGUUGCAGAGCUUCUGAAUGUUUCUCGAAGACCAUGAAUCCAGUAAAGCAUCAUCAGAAGAAGAAGAUGAUAAGGUACGCUUCCAUCUUAUAAGAGCUUGUGCUUGUGUUGUUGAUGUCGACGUGGUCUCUAAUGGCAGUAAAGAAAGAAACGCAAUGUAAAAGAGCAGAUUCAAAGCUGCCAUGAAUGGUUUGGGUUUUCGUUUUUAAGCUUUUCUCAUGGACAUGGUAAAGAAGAAUAUAAGCUUAUAAUCAGUUUCAGAGAGAAGGAGGUGUUAUGUGAAGAGAUUGAGAGCAAAAUGGGUAGAUAAGAAUUAUAAAUAUAUGUGGUUGAAUUUAGAAAAAUAAGAGAUUUGUGUGUCAGUAUCAAUAAAUGAGUCCUUGAAAGUUGCCAAAAGCUGGAAAAUGGUGGAUGAGAGCUUUCAAGGGAUUUGUUUAUUCACAGUUGGGCGCCUUCUGUCGUCAUCACAUGGUAUGAGACACCAGUUUACUAUUUUGUCCCUCUUAUAGGAAUAAACCUAAAUGUCAAGUUUGACUUUUGUAGGUGUUUUCCUCCUUUUAAGUUUUAACAAUUUUUAUGACUUAUGAGCCAGCGUCUAGUCUUUCUUAAAGAAAUUAAUUGAAUAUGAGAUUUUAAAUAUUGACUAUCAA
Lactuca sativa (garden lettuce) is the source of this 5153-nucleotide non-coding RNA. The record is from RefSeq and is a predicted model, not a curated record. Lineage: Eukaryota; Viridiplantae; Streptophyta; Magnoliopsida; Asterales; Asteraceae.